GGUCACGUGAUCAAAUUCCAUAAAGCCCGAAGGGCUUUAUGGAAAAUUUGAUCAUGUACCAACCCGUAUUUAUAUCCCGAUAAAUAUUUUAAAAUGAUACCUUAUUACUUAUAUUUACAUUUUUGGUCGGUAACAUUGCUGAAUUGUGUUAACAACACGUUUCCAUACAUUUCAAAUUGUUGACGUCCACAACGAAGCGUCAUAGAUGUUCAAAAUGACGACAACACAAAACAAAGUUCUAUAAAAUGAAGAACUGUUUUAAUUAUUAAGACGCUAGAAAGCAAGUAUAUCAACAUAUACUUAUACAUUAACUCGGGAGUAUAUAAUGGAAAACUCUUCCAUAUGUCUAAUUUUAGGGGGUGGGGGAAUUAUGAUUUAAACGGGGAUGCGCAGUGUUACACUUAGAGUUGUGAUGCGCUUUGACUUUUGAAAAGUGAAGACGUUGAAGACCGACUUUGAAAGAUAUUCUGUGGAUAUUAUGGAGUUAACAGAAGACUGAGAUGGAGGAACAUGAAGAACAGGGCGGCAGUCGUCAGGUGUAGGCAAAUCAUUUAUAGACAGGACAGAGGACGCAGCUCAGAUGAAUCUCCGGAAAGAACUGAACAUCGCAGAGAAUGUGGAACUGCACGAAGGUUUUUAACGACGCCUCGCUUCGAUGUCCCGACAUAAACUUGGAAACCGACAUCAAGCACUAUGGCUGCUGUGGCACGGAAGCGGUGUGGUGUGUAGGUCUUAAUGCACUUUGACGACUUAUCGGCCAUACAUCCUGUGAAUGACCUUUUUGCUAAAGCCUAAUGUCAUCGUCUAGCAGUAGGUACAAUUCCGCAUCACCGAUGACCAGGGUGAAGUUGUAGCAGACGAAAUUUUAGACAUACAUUAGGCCUAGUAGGCUAGUAACUAAAGACAUUGUUUACAGAAAUGCUUUUAUCAAUUAUUGAUGAAAGUCCACUGCUUGGAAUACAAAUAAAACCGUAAAUACAU
Ostrea edulis (European flat oyster) is the source of this 981-nucleotide long non-coding RNA. RefSeq lists it as uncharacterized. The record is from RefSeq and is a predicted model, not a curated record. NCBI's taxonomy places the organism in Eukaryota, Metazoa, Mollusca, Bivalvia, Ostreida, Ostreidae. The transcript is spliced from 2 exons.